AACAGGAUUAGAUACCCUGGUAGUCCACGCUGUAAACGAUGUCGAUUUGGAGGUUGUGCCCUUGAGGCGUGGCUUCCGGAGCUAACGCGUUAAAUCGACCGCCUGGGGAGUACGGCCGCAAGGUUAAAACUCAAAUGAAUUGACGGGGGCCCGCACAAGCGGUGGAGCAUGUGGUUUAAUUCGAUGCAACGCGAAGAACCUUACCUACUCUUGACAUCCAGAGAACUUAGCAGAGAUGCUUUGGUGCCUUCGGGAACUCUGAGACAGGUGCUGCAUGGCUGUCGUCAGCUCGUGUUGUGAAAUGUUGGGUUAAGUCCCGCAACGAGCGCAACCCUUAUCCUUUGUUGCCAGCGGUUCGGCCGGGAACUCAAAGGAGACUGCCAGUGAUAAACUGGAGGAAGGUGGGGAUGACGUCAAGUCAUCAUGGCCCUUACGAGUAGGGCUACACACGUGCUACAAUGGCGUAUACAAAGAGAAGCGACCUCGCGAGAGCAAGCGGACCUCAUAAAGUACGUCGUAGUCCGGAUUGGAGUCUGCAACUCGACUCCAUGAAGUCGGAAUCGCUAGUAAUCGUAGAUCAGAAUGCUACGGUGAAUACGUUCCCGGGCCUUGUACACACCGUCCGUCACACCAUGGGAGUGGGUUGCAAAAGAAGUAAGUAGCUAAUCUUCGGGAGGGCGCUUACCACUUUGUGAUUCAGACUGGGGUGAAGUCCUAACAAGUAACCGUAGGGGAACUGCUGGCUGGAUCACCUCCUU
Molecule: ribosomal RNA, 758 nt
Filed under: uncultured bacterium
Lineage: Bacteria
Description: bacterial SSU rRNA
Rfam family: Bacterial small subunit ribosomal RNA
Source: RNAcentral